RNAcentral lists this ribosomal RNA (1489 nucleotides) under uncultured bacterium. RNAcentral's name for it is "bacterial SSU rRNA". It matches the Rfam family "Bacterial small subunit ribosomal RNA". The record is from RNAcentral.
AGAGUUUGAUCCUGGCUCAGGAUGAACGCUAGCUACAGGCUUAACACAUGCAAGUCGAGGGGCAGCAUGGUCUUAGCUUGCUAAGGCCGAUGGCGACCGGCGCACGGGUGAGUAACACGUAUCCAACCUGCCGUCUACUCUUGGACAGCCUUCUGAAAGGAAGAUUAAUACAAGAUGGCAUCAUGAGUCCGCAUGUUCACAUGAUUAAAGGUAUUCCGGUAGACGAUGGGGAUGCGUUCCAUUAGAUAGUAGGCGGGGUAACGGCCCACCUAGUCUUCGAUGGAUAGGGGUUCUGAGAGGAAGGUCCCCCACAUUGGAACUGAGACACGGUCCAAACUCCUACGGGAGGCAGCAGUGAGGAAUAUUGGUCAAUGGGCGAGAGCCUGAACCAGCCAAGUAGCGUGAAGGAUGACUGCCCUAUGGGUUGUAAACUUCUUUUAUAAAGGAAUAAAGUCGGGUAUGGAUACCCGUUUGCAUGUACUUUAUGAAUAAGGAUCGGCUAACUCCGUGCCAGCAGCCGCGGUAAUACGGAGGAUCCGAGCGUUAUCCGGAUUUAUUGGGUUUAAAGGGAGCGUAGAUGGAUGUUUAAGUCAGUUGUGAAAGUUUGCGGCUCAACCGUAAAAUUGCAGUUGAUACUGGAUAUCUUGAGUGCAGUUGAGGCAGGCGGAAUUCGUGGUGUAGCGGUGAAAUGCUUAGAUAUCACGAAGAACUCCGAUUGCGAAGGCAGCCUGCUAAGCUGCAACUGACAUUGAGGCUCGAAAGUGUGGGUAUCAAACAGGAUUAGAUACCCUGGUAGUCCACACGGUAAACGAUGAAUACUCGCUGUUUGCGAUAUACUGCAAGCGGCCAAGCGAAAGCGUUAAGUAUUCCACCUGGGGAGUACGCCGGCAACGGUGAAACUCAAAGGAAUUGACGGGGGCCCGCACAAGCGGAGGAACAUGUGGUUUAAUUCGAUGAUACGCGAGGAACCUUACCCGGGCUUAAAUUGCAGAUGAAUUACGGUGAAAGCCGUAAGCCGCAAGGCAUCUGUGAAGGUGCUGCAUGGUUGUCGUCAGCUCGUGCCGUGAGGUGUCGGCUUAAGUGCCAUAACGAGCGCAACCCUUGUUGUCAGUUACUAACAGGUUCCGCUGAGGACUCUGACAAGACUGCCAUCGUAAGAUGUGAGGAAGGUGGGGAUGACGUCAAAUCAGCACGGUCCUUACGUCCGGGGCUACACACGUGUUACAAUGGGGGGUACAGAGGGCCGCUACCACGCGAGUGGAUGCUAAUCCCCAAAACCUCUCUCAGUUCGGACUGGAGUCUGCAACCCGACUCCACGAAGCUGGAUUCGCUAGUAAUCGCGCAUCAGCCACGGCGCGGUGAAUACGUUCCCGGGCCUUGUACACACCGCCCGUCAAGCCAUGGGAGCCGGGGGUACCUGAAGUGCGUAACCGCGAGGAGCGCCCUAGGGUAAAACUGGUGACUGGGGCUAAGUCGUAACAAGGUAGCC